UCCAGCAGAUGUCAUGUUUGCACAACAUAUGAAAGAAAAAAUAAAUAAAGAAAUAAUGGUACUCAUGUCAAAU
This 73-nucleotide non-coding RNA is filed under the name Ditylum brightwellii. The record is from RNAcentral. Lineage: Eukaryota; Bacillariophyta; Thalassiosirophyceae; Lithodesmiales; Lithodesmiaceae.